This is an RNA transcript of Mus musculus (house mouse), 2844 nucleotides long. It is a transcript of the gene named tubulin-specific chaperone E, with no coding region annotated. The record is from RefSeq and is marked reviewed. NCBI's taxonomy places the organism in Eukaryota, Metazoa, Chordata, Mammalia, Rodentia, Muridae. The transcript is spliced from 17 exons.
ACUUCCUCUGCGGAGGUGGGACUUCCGGUCUCCAGAUACUUCCGCCUAGAGCCGAAAGCUUCGUCGCUGAUUGCGUGAGGGUCUCUGGGUGCUGACAGACCGGCAGAGGGAAGAUCUCCUAUUGUGGAUUCCUGCUAUCUUAUAAUGAGUGACAUUUUGCCAUUAGAUGUCAUUGGUAGAAGAGUUGAAGUUAAUGGAGAAUAUGCAACAGUGCGCUUUUGUGGUGCUGUUCCUCCUGUGGCAGGACUCUGGUUAGGAGUUGAGUGGGACAAUCCUGAGAGAGGAAAGCAUGACGGGAGCCACGAAGGUACUAUGUAUUUUAAAUGCAGGCACCCAACAGGAGGCUCUUUUGUUCGUCCAAGCAAAGUUAAUUUCGGAGAUGACUUCCUUACUGCCCUUAAGAAGCGCUAUGUGCUCGAAGAUGGACCUGAUGAUGAUGAAAAUUCGUGUUCCUUAAAAGUUGGAAGUAAACAAGUGCAAACUAUUGGUUUUGAACAUAUUACAAAGAAGCAGAGUCAGCUGAGAGCACUGCAGGACAUUUCCCUCUGGAACUGUGCCGUGAGCCAUGCUGGUGAACAAGGAAGAAUUGCUGAAGCCUGCCCCAAUAUUCGAGUUGUAAAUUUAUCCAAAAACUUGUUGUCAACUUGGGAUGAAGUGGUUCUUAUUGCAGAGCAGCUCAAAGACCUGGAGGCUCUUGAUCUCAGUGAAAAUAAACUGCAGUUUCCCUCUGACUCACCAACUCUAACUAGAACAUUUUCUACUCUGAAGACUUUAGUCCUAAACAAAACAGGAAUAACGUGGACUGAGGUGCUGCACUGUGCUCCUUCAUGGCCAGUCCUCGAGGAACUUUACCUCAAGUCUAACAAUAUUUCCAUUUCUGAAAGGCCAGUGAAUGUCCUGCAGAAAAUGAGGUUACUAGACCUUUCCUCCAACCCAUCAAUUGAUGAAAGCCAGCUGAGCCUUAUAGCAGAUCUUCCAAGAUUAGAACACCUAGUCCUUUCUGACAUUGGACUUUCUUCUAUACAUUUUCCAGAUGCUGAAAUUGGAUGCAAAACAUCCAUGUUCCCGGCCUUGAAGUACCUCAUAGUCAAUGACAACCAGAUAUCAGAAUGGUCAUUUAUCAACGAGCUGGAUAAACUGCAGAGCCUGCAGGCCCUGUCCUGCACUAGAAACCCUUUGAGCAAAGCGGACAAAGCAGAGGAGAUCAUUAUCGCCAAGAUUGCUCAGCUGAGGACCCUGAACAGGUGCCAGAUUCUUCCAGAGGAAAGGCGUGGAGCUGAGCUAGAUUAUCGAAAAGCCUUUGGAAAUGAAUGGAGAAAGGCUGGUGGACACCCAGAUCCAGACAAAAACAGGCCAAAUGCAGCGUUUCUCUCAGCCCAUCCUAGAUACCAGCUUCUCUGCUGCAGUACGUCCAGGUAGCCUGUGCGGACUCCAGCUGGAUGUCCACAGGGCUGACGUGGCAGUGCAGAAGACUCUGCUUUGUCUUCUGUUUUGGGGGCUCUUUGUUCCCCUGUUGAAAGGGCUCUGGGCACUUUCCUGGGGCUAUAUCAACUAGUUGAAAACAUCAAUAUGAACUGACCAGUACCCCCAGAGCUCCUUGCAACUAAACCACCAAUCAAAGAAAACACAUGAUGGAACUUUUGGCUCUAGCUAUAUAUGUAGCAGAGGAUGGCCUAGUCGGUCAUCAAUGGGAGGAGAGACGCCUGGUCCUGUGAAGGUUCUAUGCUCCAGUAUAGGGGAAUGCCAGGGCCAGGAAGCAGGAGUGGGUGGGUUGGGGAGCAAGGGGGAGGGGGGAGGGAAUAGGGGGUUUUCAGAGGGGAAACUAGGAAAGGAGAUAACAUUUGAAAUAUAAAGAAAAUAUCUAAAAAUAAAUAAAUAUAUAUGUGAAAAAAAAGGAGAAAACAUACUAAAUUGGCAGUGUCAACAUGUGUUCCCUGGAGACCUACGCUUUGCAGGGAGGAGGGGGAUUGGCUCUUUAAAAGUUGGCAGUACUCCAAGGUCAUCACAAGCACUGGUAUUUUCUAAAGCUCUCAGUGUUGCAAGCUCAUAAAUAAGCUAUCAUUCUUCCCAAGUCCCCAUCCUAAGGUCAUAUGCUGUAUUGUCUGGCAUUCAGCAUUUCACAAGGGUUAAAUCAGCACUCUAAUUGGGCCCCAGGCUUUAAAGCAAAGGAUUGGCGUUAUGUACCAAUGUAUUUUCUAUUUUGUUGUGACAUCAUUUUUAUCAUUCCAUGGUUCACAUUUGAGCCAUUUUUCUUUUCAUAUAUUUCCUAAUACCAGCAGCUCACUGCAUUAAUGUUUCAGCUGGAAUAUUAUUUGAGGAAGACAAACUGCCUACGCGAAUUGCUUUCAAAUUACUCAAUUAACUGGUUCAGUUUCCUGGCUGAUCUAGAAUAUGGUGCACCUGAAGAUGAGGAGCUCAAAACACAGCAGCCAUUCAUGCUAAAAAAACAGCUACUAACCCUGAAGAUAAAAUGCUCAAAUCAACCUGAACGGCAAAUAUUAGAAAAGCAGUUGCCAGACUCCAUGACAGUUCAAAAGGUAAAGGGACUGUUGUCACGUCUUCUCAAAGUUCCUGUGUCAGAACUUCUGUUGUCCUACGAAAGUUCCAAGAUGCCGGGCAGAGAAAUUGAACUAGAAAAUGACCUACAGCCAUUACAGUUUUAUUCUGUGGAAAAUGGAGAUUGCCUACUAGUGCGAUGGUAACAGUCCAACCGUAAGAGUUUAACGACUGGAAUGUAUACACCAGAAACAAAACCUUUGCCCUCACAAAUGAUGUUAUGUUUUGUUGGGAAAAGACCAUUUGGUUGUAUAUUAAUAGAAUAAUAAAGGCUUUGAUUACUAUUGA